CACGUAGUUAGCCGGUGCUUUUUCUGCAGGUACCGUCACUUUCGCUUCUUCCCUGCUAAAAAGAGGUUUACAACCCGAAGGCCGUCGUCCCUCACGCGGCGUUGCUGCAUCAGGCUUUCGCCCAUUGUGCAAUAUUCCCCACUGCUGCCUCCCGUAGGAGUCUGGGCCGUGUCUCAGUCCCAGUGUGGCCGGUCACCCUCUCAGGCCGGCUACCCGUCGUCGCCUUGGUGAGCCAUUACCUCACCAACAAGCUGAUAGGCCGCGAGUCCAUCCUUGACCAAAACUUCUUUCCAGCAACUCACCAUGCGGUGGAAGCUCGUAUCCGGUAUUAGACGUCGUUUCCAACGCUUAUCCCAGAGUCAAGGGCAGGUUACUCACGUGUUACUCACCCGUUCGCCACUAAUCCACCCAGCAAGCUGGGCUUCAUCGUUCGACUUGCAUGUGUUAAGCACGCCGCCAGCGUCGUCCUCGAGCACGGAGUCAACUAC
This 488-nucleotide ribosomal RNA is filed under the name uncultured Plantibacter sp. RNAcentral's name for it is "partial 16S ribosomal RNA". Lineage: Bacteria; Bacillati; Actinomycetota; Actinomycetes; Micrococcales; Microbacteriaceae. The record is from RNAcentral.